GAAGUACUCCCUCCGUUUCGUAAUUCUUGUCUCAAAUUUGCUCAAAAUUGAAUGUAUGUAUUUCUAAAAAAUGUCUAGAUACAUAUAAUAUUUCGACAAGAAUUAUGAAACGGAGGGAGUACAUA
Brachypodium distachyon (stiff brome) is the source of this 125-nucleotide non-coding RNA. The record is from Rfam. NCBI's taxonomy places the organism in Eukaryota, Viridiplantae, Streptophyta, Magnoliopsida, Poales, Poaceae.